AUGUCUUCCAGCGAGGUCGCCUGCACCCUUGCCGCCCUCAUCCUCCACGAUGACGGGAUCCCCAUCACUUCUGAGAAGAUCGCGACGGUGGUGAAGGCUGCCGGAAUCAAGGUUGAGGCCUACUGGCCCGCGCUCUUCGCCAAGCUCCUGGAGAAGAGGAGCGUCGAUGACCUCAUCCUUUCCGUCGGAUCUGGUGGAGGUGGUGCUCCAGCUGCUGCUGCUGCUGCCCCGGCUGCUGGUGGUGCUGCUGCCGCUGAAGAGAAGAAAGAAGAGAAAAAGGAGGAGGCUAAGGAAGAGAGCGAUGAUGACAUGGGCUUCAGCUUGUUCGACUAA
This 333-nucleotide ribosomal RNA is filed under the name Triticum aestivum (bread wheat). Its description in RNAcentral is "partial small subunit ribosomal RNA". The record is from RNAcentral. Lineage: Eukaryota; Viridiplantae; Streptophyta; Magnoliopsida; Poales; Poaceae.